UCUCGCGAGAACUCCAGGAACUCGCGCAUGCUCCCCGAGUCCAACAGUAGCCAUUUCCGCCCGGGGGUGGGGGCGUGGCUUGCGGCCGCCGCCAGGAGACGCACCAGACAUGCUGACGGCGGUGGGACCCCGACCUCUGCGCCUGCGCCCUGACGUCCUUCUCUCUGGGUGGGGGCGUGCGGCCUUGGGUGUCCCGACGCUCCGGGCGCGGGCUGUGUUUUCUGUGGAAAGUUGCACUGCGGAUGCCGAUAAUAAAUGCAUUUAUUUAUUAACAUUUGUGAAAAUGCAUGUCCUUUAGUGUCCCCUGGAAAUCAGUGUGCAGAAAAGACUAUUCAGAGUUUUAUUUAGUUUUAAAAGUUUAAUAACUGCUUGAUUUUUUAAAGUUAUCCUCAUUAUUUUUCUGAAUGCUUAUUAGCGUUUACUGACGCCUACUGUGUACCACGCAGUAGGUUCUGGUGACAAAUCGGGAACAAAGUGCCGAAGGCCCGGCCUGCCCGGAGCUUACAGCAUCAGGACACAAGAUUACCUAACACUGAUAAGAGAGUGCAGGAAAGCCAGAAGUUAAUGCGAGUCGCGGCCAAGAGGAUAGGGGAAUGGGGAGUGUGGAGGUGGGGCGGCGCACGUUGCGAGGGCGGGGUCCCAAGGUGCAGGUGCACGUGCCGGGUGUGAGGGGCCAGGUGUGUAGGCUUGAGGGGAAGAGGGCGGAGCCACAGCAAGAGCAGAAGCAGAGGAGGGCGGAGGUUGCAGGAGCAGAGCCGGGGAGAAAUGGGGUGGCCAGCGAGUGGAGGGGGUGAAUUAGGAGGAGCCAGCUAAGAACGCGGCUUUACUGUCCCUGAGACCCUGCAGAGGGUGAGUGGAAGAGUGAAGCCAUCUGAGUUACCUAGAGGAAAAAAAAAGUAUAUAUAUAUAUAUAAAAUUGAGAUGUAAUUCACAUUCUCUACAACUCACCCUUUUAAAGUGUACAACUCAGUGUUUUUAGUAUAUUCAUAAGGUUGUGCAAUCCCCACCAUUUGCUAGUUUUAGUUUCGUCUCGCCCAUGUAGAAACCUGGUACUCAUUAUUAAUCACUUGCUUUCCCUCGCUCUUUCUCCAGCCCCUGGCAACCACUAAUUUACUUCUGUCUCUCUGGAUUUGACAGUUCUGGACAUUUCAUGUAAGUGGAACCAUACACUUUUGUGUGGCCUUUUGUGCCUGGCUUCUUUAACUGAGCGUAACAUCUUCAAGGUUCGUCCUUGUAGCCUGUGACAGUGCUUCUUUCCUUUUUAUGGGUCAGUAGUAUUCCAUUGUACGGAUGGACCACAUUUGUGUAUGCCGUCAUCAGUGGAUGGAUCUUUCAGUUUUCUCUGCUUUUUGGCCAUUAUGAAUAUAAUAAAUCCCCUACGUAGGAACCUUCAAGUUGCGAACUUUCAAAGAUGCGAACGUGGAACUUCCUAAUGAAGACCUGAUGGAAUUGGAGGCCCAGAGAAAGGACAAAGAGAGACAAGAGGAAGAACAAGUAACUGGACAACCAAAGAGGUUCAUGAUGCAGGAAAUGGCUAGGGGAUUUUCUUUUUUUUUUUCUUUUGCGGUAUGCGGGCCUCUCACUGUUGUGGCCUCUCCCGUUGCAGAGCACAGGCUCCGGACCCGCAGGCUCAGCGGCCAUGGCUCACGGGCCCAGCCGCUCCGCCCUAUGUGGGAUCUUCCCGGACCGGGGCAUGAACCCGUGUCCCCUGCAUCGGCAGGCGGACUCUCAACCACUGCGCCACCAGGGAAGCCCAAGGGGAUUUUCUUUAUUUGAGAAGGCACUGUUAGUUUUUGAGGCACAGGACCUGAACGUACAUGAAGUACAUGAAGGUUGCAGCAGCCAUUCAGAAUGCAAUCCAGUGCUACCAUGUCGUCUAUGAUGGGCAAAAAAGAGCUACUACCCAGACAUCACUGGAUCAUUUUUUCAAGAGGGUAGAUAGAAUUGAAUCCAGCAAAGAACUAGAACCUGUGCCAUCAGCAUCAGGGAUGAGUGAAAUUGCAGCUUGCCCUCCGUCUCCUACUGCUGAAGAUCCUUCAGCUCUACCAUCUCCAACUUCCUCUCUUCCAGUCAGUAACUCUUCCUGCCUGUUCACUCGAUGCCAGCCCCUGGAUGCCAGCUGUUGUACUACUGUACUUUUCAAGGUACUGUACUGUAAGAUUUAAAAUGUUUUCUUUGUUUUUUAUGUAUUAUUUGUGUGAAAAGUAUUAUAAACCUAUUACAGUACAGUAGCAUAUAGCCGAUUGUGUUAGUUGGGUACCUAGGCUGACUUUGUUGGACUUACAAACAAAUUGGACUUACGAACACGCUCUCGGAACAGAACUGGUUUGCAUGUAGGGGACUUACUGUAAGGCUACCGUGAGCUCUGAGUUACAUUUUUUUUUUUUUUUUGCGGUACGCAGACCUCUCACUGGUGUGGCCUCUCCCGUUGUGGAGCACAGCCUCCGGACGCGCAGACUCAGCGGCCAUGGCUCACGGGCCCAGCCGCUCCGCGGCAUGUGGGACCCUCCCGGGCGCGAACCCGUGUCCCCUGCAUCGGCAGGCGGACUCUCAACCACUGCGCCACCAGGGAAGCCCUCUGAGUUACAUUUUUAUAGAAUCACUGGGUAGAACCCAGGAGACUCCACAGUAAUCCAGAUGAGAGGCGCAGCCUUCUUUUGAUUUGGGGCUGUGUGUAAACGAGAGGCACUGAGGAUGCUUGUAAGAUCUGAAAGUUGGAGUGUCCAUUGGCUGACCUGGGGAGGGUGUGGGUGGGGUUGAGGCAGGAGAUAGACGGGCCCCAGUUUAGACAUUUACAACUAACCUCCUGUUUAUGCUUUAAAAAUAAAGAUAAUAACAGGAACAGGAUAAGCAGCUGGACUUUGUCUCCUGUGGACGCUUCAAGGGAACGGAACGGCAGAAACAGAGAGGGGCUGAGCCCUGCUGGCAUAAAAGACAAAGAGACCACAUAGUUCUCAUUCUCGGGGCCAAGGAGACUCCCUCCCAGACUAUGCAUGUGCAGAAAGGUUAAAGGGAGGGGGCGCCAGACCAUAAUAUGUUCUGUUAACCUCUCAGAGACCCUUGCGCUGGAAUCCAUCUUGGCUAAAAGAUGCAUGUGCACACAGGGGAGGGCCCUGAGUCAGACCAGAUAUGGACUCAGAGCCAGACAAAGCAAGCUGAUUGGCCAGAGGAAACCUAGAAGAACUUCCCCCAUAUGGUUUAAACCACCCCCAAAAGCACACGCCUCUCUCUCUGUCUCUCAGCCUGCCUGUGCUUUCUAUUCUUCUCUCCUAAUAAACACUUUACUUGACUCAAUACUUUUCAUCUCUUUGCUGAUUCUUUCUUCAAAGCAGAUGAGAGCCAGGGCCCUGCUCCUAGCCAAUAGUCCCUGGUGGUCUAGUGGUUAGAAUUCGGUGCUUUCACUGCUGUGGUCCGGGUUCAAUUCCCAGGGAACUGAGAUCCCACUUCAAGCUGCCGCUCACUGUGGUCACUCACAGCCACCUGAGAUCAGGUUUUCAGGCCUGUAGACUCAGACUGAAUCACACACCAGCUUUCCUGGUUCCCAGCUUGCAGAUGGCAGACUAUGGGACUUCUUGGCUUCCGUCACUAUCACCCACAGAAUGAGGUCACCAAUGGAGGGAGAGGAGAAUGAAAAGAGAACCAAGGUCCGAGGCCAGAGGGCGGCUACUUUUGUUGAGGUGGGCACAUAGGCUAUUUAUUUCUAAGGGAUGCCUCAGAGAGAGGCUGUAGUGCUGCAACUGUCCACUUUCAGGGGGUGCCUGUGUAUCAUGUAGAACCCCCCAUAAGCCAGGCCUGAGUGUUCUCUUCCUCUAUCAAGUGAUCAUAGGAAACUCCCCGUGAAGCCACAGGUGAACAUGAGUGUACAACUGUCUGUUUGAGUCCCUGCUUUAAAUUCUUUUGUUUAUAUAUCCGGAAGUGGAAUUGCUGGAUCAUACGGGCAUUCUAUGUUUAAUGUUUUUGAAAAACCGUCAAAAUGUUUCCCGUAGCAGCUGCACCAUUUUACAUUCCUAACAGCAAUGCACAAGGGUUCCAAUUUCUCCGUAGCCUCAUCAACUCUUAUUAUUUUGUGU
Orcinus orca (killer whale) is the source of this 4070-nucleotide long non-coding RNA. RefSeq lists it as uncharacterized. NCBI's taxonomy places the organism in Eukaryota, Metazoa, Chordata, Mammalia, Artiodactyla, Delphinidae. The record is from RefSeq and is a predicted model, not a curated record. The transcript has 5 exons.